GAUGAAGACGCAGUGAAAUGCGAUAAGUAAUGUGAAUUGCAGAAUUCCGUGAAUCAUCGAAUCUUUGAACGCACAUUGCGCCCCCUGGUAUUCCGGGGGGCAUGCCUGUCCGAGCGUCAUUACAACCCUCAAGCUCAGCUUGGUGUUGGGCCCCGCCGCCCCGGCGGGCCCUAAAGUCAGUGGCGGUGCCGUCCGGCUCCGAGCGUAGUAAUUCUUCUCGCUCUGGAGGUCCGGUCGUGUGCUCGCCAGCAACCCCCAAUUUUUUUCAGGUUGACCUCGGAUCAGGUAGGGAUACCCGCUGAACUUAAGCAUAUCAAUAAGCGGAGGA
This 328-nucleotide unclassified non-coding RNA is filed under the name soil metagenome. Its description in RNAcentral is "partial contains 5.8S ribosomal RNA, internal transcribed spacer 2, and large subunit ribosomal RNA". The stretch from base 1 to 119 matches the Rfam family "5.8S ribosomal RNA", at positions 35 to 154 of the family's 154-position model. The record is from RNAcentral.